RNAcentral lists this ribosomal RNA (354 nucleotides) under Triticum aestivum (bread wheat). Its description in RNAcentral is "partial small subunit ribosomal RNA". The record is from RNAcentral. Lineage: Eukaryota; Viridiplantae; Streptophyta; Magnoliopsida; Poales; Poaceae.
AUGCACACAAGGCAAACCUGGAGGAGUCACAGAUCCGAUCAACACACAGCACGUAUGUGUUCACGAUGCAUGCACCAGCAUGCAGUGAACAUGCAUGAUGAGGGCUGGGUUAAUAGUCGCAUGACAAAUGUACGGACCGAUACGUACGUGUUCAUGCCUGUAGCGCAGGUGAGGACGGUGUACUGGCCGACCGGCACCAUGGCGGAGGGGCUAGCGAGGCGCGGCGCCAUAUGCGGCCGCGCAACGACGAACGGAACGAACGCAUGCAUGCAUGAAAGAUCACUAAGAUAUUGGCACGGCUCAAUCAGAACCACCGCCGCGGAUGGCUCCGGCCGGCCGGCCGGCGUGGUCUGA